CUGGAGGGGUGGGGCCGACGAGGCGGGGCCGGGGCGGCAGUCGGGCGGCAGCCGCAGCUGGGGCGGGAGCGGCGGCGGCGGCGCGGGGUAGGUAGCGUCGCCCCGUGGUGCGGCAUGUCCAAGACGCUGCGGAAGAAGCGGCACUGGCUGAGCAAGGUGCAGGAGUGCGUGGUGUCCUGGGGCGGCCCAGCGGGCCCCGACCCCGAUUUGCUGCGCGGCGGCGCCGAGCGCGGCGAGUUUCCGUACCUGGCGGGCCGCCUGCCCACGGGCGGCGAGGGCGCGCCGGGCCCUGCGCUGCUCUCAGGCAAGGCGCCGGCGCCGGGGGACGUGCUGCUGGAGGUGAACGGCACCCCGGUGAGCGGCCUCACGCACCGCGACACGUUAGCCGUGGUGCGGCACUUCAGGGAGCCCGUGCGCCUCAAGACCGUGCGCCCAGGAAAAGUCAUCAACAAGGACUUGCGCCACUACCUGAGCCUUCAGUUCCAGAAGGGCUCGAUAGACCACAAACUCCAGCAAGUGAUCAGAGACAAUCUCUAUUUGAGAACCAUCCCUUGCACUACAAGGGCUCCCAGAGAUGGGGAGGUCCCUGGGGUAGACUAUAAUUUCAUUCCUGUUGAGGAGUUUAAAGCGCUGGAAGAAAGUGGAGCCUUACUAGAAAGUGGAACAUAUGAUGGUAAUUUUUAUGGUACUCCAAAGCCUCCAGCAGAGCCCAGCCCCUUUCAGCCUGAUCCAGUGGAUCAAGUUCUUUUUGACAAUGAUUUUGAUACUGAAUCACAGAGGAAAAGAACCACGUCGGUCAGCAAAAUGCAAAGGAUGGAAAGUUCUCUCCCUGAAGAGGAGGAAGAGGAGGAAAAGGAAGCAGUUAAUGGCAGCGGAGGGAUAGAAAACAAAGAAAAACAUUCAGAUUCUCCUGACUGGAUGAAACCUGUUCCCAGCUACAACCAGACAAGCAGCAACAUGGACUUCAGAAAUUAUUUGUCAAGGGAUGAGACCCUGGAACCACUACCCAAGAACUGGGAAAUGGCCUACACGGACACUGGCAUGAUCUACUUCAUCGAUCACAACACCAAGACAACCACAUGGCUUGAUCCCCGGCUCUGUAAGAAGGCCAAAGCUCCUGAAGAUUGUGAAGAUGGAGAACUUCCUUAUGGAUGGGAGAAAAUAGAAGACCCUCAGUAUGGGACAUACUACGUUGAUCAUAUUAACCAGAAAACUCAGUUUGAAAAUCCAGUAUUGGAAGCCAAAAGGAAAAAACAGCUAGGACAGACUGAUGCUGGCCCUUCCAAAUCAGGACCAGGGAUGUCUGUCUUCACUCAAGAUCCAUCCCAGCUUACUGGAGCACUUAUAAGGACAUCCCUGAAAAAAAGUACCAUGGGAUUUGGCUUCACAAUCAUCGGCGGGGACAGGCCUGACGAGUUUCUCCAGGUGAAGAAUGUGUUAAAAGAUGGACCUGCUGCACAAGAUGGAAGAAUUGCUCCAGGUGAUGUCAUCGUGGACAUAAAUGGAAGUUGUGUCCUUGGCCAUACCCAUGCAGAUGUUGUCCAGAUGUUUCAGCUCAUUCCCAUCAAUCAGUAUGUGAACAUGACUUUAUGUCGUGGGUACCCUCUUCCUGAUGACAAUGAAGACCCCAUGGUGGAUAUCGUGACAGCCACGCCUGUCAUUAGCAGCCCGCCAGCGCCCAAGGGAGAUGCUUCCGUGUCCAGCCAAGAUUUAGUAGCAGGAACGGUUGUGUUGGACCAGAAUGGGAAAAUGUUGGUCAACGGUCGCCUGAACGGCCCUUCCGUGGAUUCCGUGGAGCAGAGGGUCUCCUGUGCCUCCUCAGGAGGCUCUCAGCCAGAGCUGGUCACCAUCCCUCUGGUCAAAGGGCCUAAAGGCUUUGGGUUUGCCAUUGCAGACAGUCCCACAGGCCAGAAGGUGAAGAUGAUUUUGGACAGCCAGUGGUGCCAAGGACUACAGAAAGGGGAUGUCAUCAAGGAGAUUUGCCAUCAGAAUGUGCAGAGCUUGACCCACUUGCAGGUGGUGGAGGUGCUCAAGCAGUUUCCAGUAGGAGCAGAGGUGCCCCUGCUUAUCUUAAGAGGAGGUCCACCCUCACCUACUAAAGCUGCCAAAGGAAAGGACAAGCAGGACAGUUUGGAAGCUAUCAGUGAUACCAUUCCACAGCCAAUGCCCUUCCCGCCUUCUGCUGUGCGACCAAGCUCUCCUAAACUGGACCCUUCCGAAGUCUACCUGAAGUCUAAGACAAUUUAUGAGGACAAACCUCCAAACACAAGAGAUUUAGAUGUUUUCCUGAGAAAACAAGAGUCAGGUUUUGGUUUCCGGGUGCUUGGAGGGGACGGACCGGAUCAGCCUAUUUAUAUUGGAGCCAUAAUCCCAUUGGGAGCAGCAGAAAAGGACGGGAGGCUGCGUGCAGCGGAUGAGCUGAUGUGCAUUGAUGGAGUCCCUGUGAAAGGGAAGUCACACAAGCAAGUUCUGGAUUUAAUGACCAGCGCCGCACGGAAUGGGCAGGUGCUGCUCACUGUCCGGAGAAAGAUCUUCUUCAGUGGGGAAAAGCAGGUGGAGGUGGAGGAGCCACAGCCUGUCCUGACACAGAACAGCUCUCCCCGGCUGAACCGUGUCAGCUUUGCCAACCAACCUUGCCCGGAGGUCUACGACGUCCGUCUGCAGCGGAAGGAGAACGAAGGAUUUGGCUUCGUCAUCCUUACCUCCAAGAACAAACCUCCUCCUGGGGUGAUUCCUCACAAGAUUGGGCGGGUAAUCGAGGGAAGCCCGGCUGACCAGUGUGGGAGGCUGAAGGUGGGCGAUAGAAUCUCAGCGGUGAACAGCCAGUCCAUCGUGGAGCUUUCUCAUGACAGCAUCGUGCAGCUCAUCAAGGAUGCAGGCAGUGUGGUGACCCUCACGGUGGUGGCUGAGGAAGAGCAACGUGGUCCUCCAUCAGGAACAAACUCAGCCAGGCAGAGCCCGGCCCCACAGCACCGACCACUGGGAUUGGCACCAAUCAACUCCGACAGGGGAGCUACAGAAGGUGAAGCUGGAAAAGAAGUUUCUAGUAGUUACCGGCUGUCCUGGCCCGAGCACAAGCACAUGGCGCAGUUGGAUGCUGCUUCAGGGGUUGGCAGCCAUCAUUCCCAGAAUCCUGGCUGUUUCCCAGUGGAGUUGGAAAGGGGCCCUCGAGGGUUUGGAUUCAGCCUCCGGGGAGGAAAAGAAUACAACAUGGGCUUAUUCAUCCUCCGUCUAGCUGAGGAUGGGCCGGCAGUCAAGGAUGGGAGAGUCCAUGUUGGUGACCAAAUUGUGGAAAUUAAUGGAGAACCUACCCAAGGAAUCACUCACACACGAGCCAUUGAGCUGAUUCAGGCUGGAGGGAAUAAAGUUUUGCUGCUGCUGAGACCAGGGACUGGAUUGAUACCAGAUCACAGUGAUUGGGAUAGAUGCAAUCCUGCUUCAUCAAAUGUAAUAUAUGAAGAACAGUCACCAUUAUCAUCUUCAUCUUCCUAUUCUGCUUCCCCAUCUGAAGUGUGUUAUUUAGCAGUACCAGGAGAAGCUUUAACCAGAGUUCAGCUGUCUGAGGAACUGGAACAAGCAGAGAACACUGUGCCUGACAAGAUAAGCACUUUAACUGAAAAGCGGUGUGAGAGGAAGCCUCAGUCUUCUCCCCAGAGAACAAAGAACAGAUGGGAAUGUCCCUCGAGUCCUGGGUUUGGAAUCACUAAAGGUAGUUCAGAAGCAGAGACCAGAAGGGGCAGAUCUACCAGUCCAGCAAAGUCAGGGGCUGCUGAAGGAUACCCUCACAUGGGAUUCCACAGCCCCAGGAAAGAGGAUCCUGACAAAAAGAAUUUCUCACAUAAAUCUGACAGUUUCAGGAGUGAGAGUAAGACCACAGAAAUAGGGAUAAAAAAUAGUAACAAGAAGGAGUCUUCCAGUGGUAAUCGAGGAAGGUCAGCAAGUCCCCAAAGGCAUCUUGGCAAGCCAGGAAGCGCAGAAACGCUGGGAAGGAUCCAAGGUAGGACAGCCUAUGGUGAUAAGGCAACUGUUGAGCAGUUGAAAGGUGGGAAUGGUAAACCAGAAGUCACCAGGAAAGAGAUAAAGCAGAAGACCCCAGGAAAGACAGAAGGGUGUUCUGCAGACCCACAUUACCCAGCGUUUAGUGGGCAUAACCUUCCCUUCAGGGACUCCAGAAGAAAUGCCUCUGAGGAUGAUUUAUUAACCAAGUCCAGCUCUGGAGACACAGCUUUCAGCAGAUUCAAAGCCUCCAGCCUUUCCAAUAUCCCUCUGCCUUCCAUGGAGAAACAAAGGAGGGUGGAAACACAGGAAGCUCUUACGCUGAACAGACACCAUGGAGAGAGACAGCUGCUCAAUGAAACCAAAGAUGGAACUUCCCAACCUGAGAGAAAUUCUCCAGUAAGGAAAACACUGAUAACUCCCGGGCCGUGGAGGGUCCCCAGUGGCUGUAAGGGCACCCCAGCAGAAGGGGUGCCUGGAAAACGGGUGUGACUGACUGACAGACAUUGUUUUUAGAACAUGUUUGAUCAAUUUUCCAGUAAGGGUAAUUUAAAGCAUUGGGUCAGACAGUUGUCUUUUUUUUUUUUCUUUUUUUUUUCCCUCCUCAGAAACUGGUUAGAGGGGGGGAUGUAUUUGAUCUGUUUUUAAAUUAUCUAAGCUCCAUGAAGGACCUUUCAGAUUGCUUCAGUGAAACCCUUCCAUGAGCUGCUCUCCCCCCUGUGUCCCUUUGCAGGCCAUGUCUGCUGCUCCCAGUGUUGCACGUUAUUUAAUGCCUCUAUUGCCAAUGUGAUCCUCACUCACUUCCUGUUCUUGUGCCAAGCUAUCCACUGUAGCCAGUCAAUCUAACCCUUCCCACAUGGAUUCCAGUCACAGAUAAGGCAGGUUUGAGCUGAGGUGGGUGUUUUCUCUAGAGCAGGUUGCAUGUUUACAUCAGGAAACCCACACGUUCUUUCUGGGUCAGGGUGAACACGGGCGAGGUGGUUCUGUCAGUUCCAGGGCAGCAAAUGAGCUGCUGAUGCUGCUCAGUUCAUACACAAAACCCUGUAGCUAAAUGUGAUAUUUGACAUAAUUUUGUAAGCUUGCUUUUUCUGACACAACAAAAAUCACUUUAGUUCCUUGAUUCACAGGGCUUUGGGUUGCAAACAUCCAUGAGAGGAAAGAAAAUUGUGGGUUCUGUUAAAUAACACAAUUCCUUUGGUUUCACUCCAUGGCACCCUCAGCCUCGGUGUGAAGCUGAUACUGAAGUCCCAUCUUUAAUUAUUUAAUGCUUAUUAGGAAUCGGGUCUUUUCUCCUGUGUUAAGAACUGCCCGUAGGAUGGACUCAACUGCUAUAGCAGGUUUUUCAGUGAAGUUCUUGCCUGUAUAUUUAGAACUCUCCCCUAGUUAGAUGAACACAUGAUCAUGGACUAUUGAUGACAAACAGGAUACAGGAGACAGACCUUCUAUGGUUUGGGCUGGCAGAGAUACUUUAAAGAGGGAUGUUACUACUGGAACCUACUGACACAUCACUCCUACGGCUGUAAGAGCAACAGAAACGGAAGGGUGUUACUUUAUUCACAGUUUCAGUGAUUAUUUCCCAACAUCUGAGAUUUUCAAUGACUGCAGAACAGUGGUAAAAGGAGGUCCUUGAUCCAGUUUGCUGGAGAAAGAAGAGUAAGUGAUUGAGCUUUACUUAUUUAAAGUACAAACAUGAUUUACUCUUUGCAAGUGAAUAUCUCAUUUUCGCUGUGAAAUGUUAAAUGUUUUUAAAGUCUAACAAAGCACGGUGAGGCAGUUCUGAAUGGAAUUCUUCACAAGUACAUCUGACUGCUCAAACAGCUUUUAAACAAAGACUUUGGGAAUUCAGAAGGCUUUAAAGCAGCUCUGAACUGUACUCACCUGCUCAACACCAGGAGCUGCAUGAUGAGGUGUCCUGAGUGAGGCCCUCGCAAAGCUGGCAAAGGCAAGGAACAUGGAGCAUGCAGGGAGCAUCCAAGGGGGUUCUCCCCCCUGAGUUUCUCCUGGGGCGUGCUGCCUGUACUGCUGCCUGUAAGAGCUGGGUGUUGAACCUGGGUUUGGGCUGUUCUCCUGCAGUCCCAGCUCCAACUGCUGUCCCUGUGCCCAGACCUUGCUGUGUCCCAGCACCAAACUCAGGCAGCUGGGGCUGCUUUUCCAGGCCUUUCAUGCCACGGGCAGUCCCAGAUUCCUGGAGCUCCCCAAUGCCCAGCUUGGACUCGCUCUCUGGAAGGGGCAUGUACCAAAGAUGUCCUCGGUUUGACAUUUAAUUCCUGUUGUUUUUCCUUUUCCAGGUAGUUGGCAAAAAUGGAGAGAGCCAUUGGGAAGCAAAAGCCACUGGAAGGCCCUAUCCUGGUUCAAGGUUGCCACUUUUCUCUCCGACUCCUGGAUAAUUCCUUGACCAGAACCAGAGACUGUCCAUUUGAUUUCUUGCCUUUUCCAAUAAAUGGUUACUUUCA
Molecule: RNA transcript, 6449 nt
Organism: Prinia subflava (tawny-flanked prinia)
Lineage: Eukaryota; Metazoa; Chordata; Aves; Passeriformes; Cisticolidae
Gene: MAGI3
Gene name: membrane associated guanylate kinase, WW and PDZ domain containing 3
Exons: 22
Source: RefSeq, a predicted model, not a curated record